Molecule: long non-coding RNA, 2194 nt
Organism: Solanum tuberosum (potato)
Lineage: Eukaryota; Viridiplantae; Streptophyta; Magnoliopsida; Solanales; Solanaceae
Exons: 6
Source: RefSeq, a predicted model, not a curated record
UCGAGCAGUUGCGUUAGGCCCAAGUACUUGUGCAGGUUAAGAUUUUCUUGGUCUAUUUCCAAGCAUUUCUCAGAUGAUAAAAGCUUCAGUCCUCUGUUUGAUUGCUUCCAUAUCAGGCUUGAACAUUCUGCUCAACUGCUCAAGAUGAGGGAGAACUUUCUGCCUCUGCGUAACGUCUAUCUUUGCCGAUAUCUUCAAAGGGAUCUUUAUCCUCAUUGUUGAAUGCUCACAAAUCCAUGUUGCUCAAAAUGCUCAUGAGAUUCAGGAUUGCAACCAACAAUAGUCACAGAAGCUUCCACUCCUGGAAGAAGGGAUCGAUUAAUGAUGUGCUUAUUCCUAUCGAGUCAUACCAUAUGCAUGAUCCUUCUGGCACGCGCUUUAAGCAUGAGACAGAAUUCCAGCAGAUGUAGAACUUUGUAUCCAAGCUGACAGUGGAUGAGCUGUUUCCCCCUAAUUAUGUGUGGCAUGUUCAAGAUCCAAAAGGACCAUGGGAAGGUGAUGAUGAAGUGAAAGUAGAUGAUCUCAGUAAAGCGAUAUUUAAUUCUAAGUGAAUCCUCACAAAUCCGUGUUCCUCAAAAUGAUCAUGAGAUUUAGGAUUGAAACCAACAAUAGUCGCAGAAGCUUCCACUCCUGGAAGAAGGGAUCGAUUGAUGAUGAGGUAAUUCCUAUCGAGUCAUACCAUAUGUAUAAUCCUUUCGGCAUGCGCAUUAAGCAUGAAACAGAAUUCCAGCAGUUGUAGAACUUUGCAUUCAAGCUGAUAGUGGAUGAGCUGCUUCCCCCUAAUUAUGUGUGGCUGUUCAAGAUCCAAAAGGACCAUGGGAAGGUGAUGAUGAAGUGAAAGUAGAUGAUCUCAAUAAAGCGAUAUUUAAUUCUAAGUGAAUGCUCACAAAUCCAUAUUGCUCAAAAUAGUCAUGAGAUUCAGGACUGAAACCAACGAUAGUCGCAGAAGCUUCCACUCCUGGAAGAAGGGAUCGAUUGAUGAUGUGCUAAUUCCUAUCGAGUCAUACCAUAUGUAUGAUCCUUUUGGCACGCGCAUUAAUCAAGAAACAGAAUUCCAGCAGCUGUAGAACUUUGCAUCCAAGCUGACAGCGGAUGAGGUGUUUCCCUUUAAUUAUGUUCAAGAUCCAAAAGGACCCUCAUUGAAGAGCGCACUGAAGAGGUGAAAGUACAUGAUCUCAAUAAAGCAAUAUUCAAUUCUAAGGUUUCUUGUCCCAACCUGAAAAGGCUAUAUAUCAUUCGGCCUAACAGCAUAAGUUCUCUAUGCUCUCACCAACUUCAGCAAACUUCAAUUACUGAAGGUAUCAGAUUGUGGAAAAUUGAGAAACUUGAUGUCUCCAUCAGUGGCCAGAGGUGCUUUGAAUCUCCGAAUACUAAAUAUAGAUGGUUGUCAAUCAAUGGAAGAAGUGAUCACAAAAGAGGAACAACAAGGAGAAGGAAUCAUGACCUUGUUUCGGCCUGUUGGAAGAGCUGAAGCUUUGGGAUCUGCCUAAGCUGGGGCAUUUCUUUCUGACGAAUGAUGCUCUUGAAUUUCCCUUUCUCAGGGAAGUGUUGAUUGAUGACUUCCCUGAAAUGAAGACGUUUGUCCAACAGGGAAUAUUUGUGAGUACACCGAGUCUCAAAUGGGUGAACUAUGAUGAUAAGGUGAAAGUAGAUGAUCUGAAUAAAUGGAGACAAUAGAGGUUCACUUCUCAGGAACAAAAAGCUAGUCAAGGCACUACCGAUGGUGAGGUGUUAUGACUCCAGAAAAUUGCAAGAGGAUGAGGUCAUGGCAGCUUUGAAGUCUGUAUGUAGCCUGAUACCUCACAAGUAUAGGCCUAUGAUGAAGCCAGACAUUGUGCUCCUUGAAAAUGAAGAGAGUUGCCUAGUCGCGUAAGGUUCCUUGAGUAUAAGCCUAUGAUGAGGUUAGACAUUGUGCUCCCUGACAGUGAAGAGAGUCGCGUAAGGUUCCUCAAGUAUAAGCCUGUGAUGAGGCUAGACAUUGUUCUCCCUGAAAGUGAAGAUAGUUGUCUAGUCGCGUAAGGUUACUUUACUAGCUGUUCUACAUAGGUUAACGUACACUGUGUUAUAGAAGUCUGGAAAUGUAGCUUUCAUUAUAUUGUUCAUUGAGUGACUAACUAUUGAGGCUGCAGUCUUUGUUUUGCCUCUGUAAUGUGAGGAUCAGGGCACCCAUUUCAACUAUUUGUUAUUUUAAAAG